This 495-nucleotide ribosomal RNA is filed under the name uncultured bacterium. RNAcentral's name for it is "partial 16S ribosomal RNA". It matches the Rfam family "Bacterial small subunit ribosomal RNA", at positions 28 to 507 of the family's 1533-position model. The record is from RNAcentral.
GAUGAACGCUGUCGGCGUGCCUAAUACAUGCAAGUAGAACGCUGAAGGAGGAGCUUGCUCUUCUGGAUGAGUUGCGAACGUGUGAGUAACGCGUAGGUAACCUGCCUGGUAGCGGGGGAUAACUAUUGGAAACGAUAGCUAAUACCGCAUGACAACAGUUAUUGCAUGAUAACUGUUUAAAAGGGGCAACUGCUCCACUACCAGAUGGACCUGCGUUGUAUUAGCUAGUUGGUGAGGUAACGGCUCACCAAGGCGACGAUACAUAGCCGACCUGAGAGGGUGAUCGGCCACACUGGGACUGAGACACGGCCCAGACUCCUACGGGAGGCAGCAGUAGGGAAUCUUCGGCAAUGGACGGAAGUCUGACCGAGCAACGCCGCGUGAGUGAAGAAGGUUUUCGGAUCGUAAAGCUCUGUUGUAAGAGAAGAACGAGUGUGAGAGUGGAAAGUUCACACUGUGACGGUAUCUUACCAGAAAGGGACGGCUAACUACGUG